UACGGAGGGUGCAAGCGUUGUUCGGAUUUAUUGGGCGUAAAGCGCGUGUAGGCGGUUUCUUAAGUCUGAUGUGAAAGCCCCGGGCUCAACCCGGGAAGUGCAUUGGAUACUGGGAGACUUGAAUACGGGAGAGGGUAGUGGAAUUCCUAGUGUAGGAGUGAAAUCCGUAGAUAUUAGGAGGAACACCGGUGGCGAAGGCGGCUACCUGGACCGAUAUUGACGCUGAGACGCGAAAGCGUGGGGAGCAAACAGG
Molecule: ribosomal RNA, 253 nt
Filed under: uncultured bacterium
Lineage: Bacteria
Description: partial 16S ribosomal RNA
Rfam family: Bacterial small subunit ribosomal RNA
Source: RNAcentral